RNAcentral lists this ribosomal RNA (697 nucleotides) under uncultured beta proteobacterium. RNAcentral describes it as "partial 16S ribosomal RNA". It matches the Rfam family "Bacterial small subunit ribosomal RNA", at positions 8 to 671 of the family's 1533-position model. Lineage: Bacteria; Pseudomonadati; Pseudomonadota; Betaproteobacteria. The record is from RNAcentral.
AGAGUUUGAUCCUGGCUCAGAACGAACGCUGGCGGCGUGCCUAACACAUGCAAGUCGAACGUGAAAGUCCUUCGGGAUGAGUAAAGUGGCGCACGGGUGAGUAAUGCGUAGAUAAUCUGCCUGAUGAUCUGGGAUAACAUCUCGAAAGGGGUGCUAAUACCGGAUAAGCCCACGGGCCUCUUCGGAGCUUGCGGGAAAAGGGGGGGACCUUCGGGCCUUCUGUCAUCAGAUGAGUCUACGUACCAUUAGCUAGUUGGUAGGGUAAAGGCCUACCAAGGCAACGAUCUGUAGUUGGUCUGAGAGGACGACCAGCCACACUGGGACUGAGACACGGCCCAGACUCCUACGGGAGGCAGCAGUGGGGAAUUUUGGACAAUGGGCGCAAGCCUGAUCCAGCAAUGCCGCGUGCAGGAAGAAGGCCCUUCNGGUUGUAAACUGCUUUUGUCAGGGAAGAAAUCUUCUGGGUUAAUACCUCGGGAGGAUGACNGUACCUGAANAAUAANCACCGGCUAACUACCNUGCCANCANCCNCGGUAAUACCGAGGGUGCNAGCCGUUGUUCCGAAUUAUUGGGCGUAAAGCCNCGUGUANGCCGGUUUUAUAAAUUUUGAUGGGAAAACCCCCGGGCNUNAACCUGGGAAGNGCNUUGGAUACCUGNAANANCUUGANUUCCCGNAANAGGNCCCNNGGNAAUNUCC